UGAAUCGCUAGCUCAGUAGGUAGAGCACAACACUUUUAAUGUUGGGGUCCUGGGUUCGAGCCCCAGGCGGUUCACAAG
RNAcentral lists this transfer RNA (78 nucleotides) under Porphyromonas endodontalis ATCC 35406. RNAcentral describes it as "tRNA-Lys". It matches the Rfam family "tRNA". From Rfam's summary of the family: Transfer RNA (tRNA) molecules are approximately 80 nucleotides in length. Their secondary structure includes four short double-helical elements and three loops (D, anti-codon, and T loops). Further hydrogen bonds mediate the characteristic L-shaped molecular structure. tRNAs have two regions of fundamental functional importance: the anti-codon, which is responsible for specific mRNA codon recognition, and the 3' end, to which the tRNAs corresponding amino acid is attached (by aminoacyl-tRNA synthetases). tRNAs cope with the degeneracy of the genetic code in two manners: having more than one tRNA (with a specific anti-codon) for a particular amino acid; and 'wobble' base-pairing, i.e. permitting non-standard base-pairing at the 3rd anti-codon position. Lineage: Bacteria; Pseudomonadati; Bacteroidota; Bacteroidia; Bacteroidales; Porphyromonadaceae. The record is from RNAcentral.